CAGGGCUCCGGGACGCUCUGAGUUCCCUUAUCCCUGGCCGGAGGGAGCGAAAACUGUGCAAAGCAACUUAAAAAAAAAAAAAAGUCAUGAGAGCUUAAUAAAAAGCAGGUUUAUAAUGACAAGCAAAAGAUGAGCGUCCCUGACCCACAGGUUUCUCAGAAGGAGGACUCUGGGGAGAUGCUGCGGGCGACCGGGACCCGGGGUCCCCUCGCUUCUUGGCCUGCUGCGACGCGGGACAAGGAGAGCACGGAAACUACUCCAGUCAGCUAAGUCGCCUUCACCGAGAAGGGGACCUCACCCCUCUCUCCGCAAACCGUUUCCAGGCGUUCUCCUCUGGGCUCUAUGACGUGACUUAAAAGAUAGUCGGCUGAAGUUUUUCGUGAAGGUGUUUGAUGUACUACAUACCGCUGCUCAGAGAACGCCCUGACUUGGCUCUUUUGAAGGAGUCAACUAGGAAUCUUAGGUCAAUGGGGAUUUCAUCCAAAGUUUGCCAGUGUUAAGUAAGUUCAGUAUAGUUUUCUCCAGCUUUAAUUGAAUUUAUCAGUGAAACCAAUACAUAUGUUUUCCUGAAGUUCCUAUCAGCUGUUAAGAUCUGCUUUUUCUCAAACACUCAGGCUGUACAGGAAAUCAAUUCUUCGUUUAGUGUUGAUGCCUAAAUAAUGUUCCUGACUUUUCAUCUUUUCCACUGCAUGGUUGCUCCCUUUGGUCAGAGCUGAGGGUGCAGUCGUUGUUUUCCUACACGAGGUGGAGCUGAAGAGUACUGUGCUCUGAGACUUGUGACAGCAUAAAAAAAUUUAAAUGGAAGUUUGGGCAGGAGGUGGGGGUUUGUUUUGUUUUGUUUUUAGAGAACAGAAAUAGAGCACCGCCUCUGUUUUAUCAGCAAAUAAAAAUUAUGAAUGAAGGAAUGUAGCACACACCUUAUUGUUGGAAAUGAUGCAUUAUAGUCUAUCAGAGAGUUUAAACAGCUUGCAAAUGCAUUAAAGGAGUAAAUGGAUAACAAAAUUCUGGUAUUUCUCUUGUUUCCUCACUUUGUUUAUCAAAGCAAGGAAUUACGUCUUUCACAAAUUGAAAAGGGAUAGAAGAAUAUCUUAUUAUAAAGUGAUUUCCCCCUGUGCUUAGGAAAGCUAAAUUUAUAAUUAUGACCAAAUCCAGUUAUUUUGUCGAACCAAUGACAGCAAAAGAGUUGUAGAAGACUUUGGUAAAGUUUGGCAUGAAAAUGGUAUUAGAAAUAGCAAAAUAUUGUGCAAGCAAACUAGAAUGCAUCUCUACAGUUCCUAAAUAAGGUUGAAAAGGAACUGAGGAAUGGAAGUAGUUAAGUAUUUUUGUCUCAUUUAAAAUCGAACUAUGAAUUAGAGGACAGCUAAAAUAUUGCUGGAGUUGGUAGCAGGCUUUCUAGUUUGGGCAACACUAAAGAUGCAGAGUCUGUUUGAAAUAAAAUAUAAAACCAUCUGCUUUAUUGAUACUGUGUGUGUGUUAACAAGCACACUUCGGGAAAUAACCUGGCGCAAACAGAAACACGGUAAACAAGAACAUUAUGAAACAGCGUUUCAAAGAUAUUGAACGCUGCCAGAGAUUGGUAGUUUGUAUAUUUUUAAUGGUCAUUAAUAUGCUUUUCGUACAUAAUGCUUUUCCAAUUAGGUAAAUAAAAAUAUAAUUCAGUAAGUGUUUUCAAAAUUCAUGGCUAGCUUAGUGUAAUAACUAAUCUAACCGAUUUCAGUUGGGGAAAAGUUUACAUCCUAAUUCAAAACACAGCAACUAUUUGUUUCUCUGAUACAUGAUUCUUGAGCAUUACUUGGAAGAGAAUAUGCUAAGUGUAUUGGGGGAUAUUGGCCCACCAGGUACGAGCAGAUGAAAUAUCAAAUUUAAUUGCAGUAUUAUUCCCUCUAGAUUUACUUUACCAUACUUAAGUCUCCCUUGUGAAAGCAAAGUUAUUUUGGAUUUCCCUGGUGUUACAGUGGUAGUCAGGAUGGCCCAGUGGCAGUCAGGGUGGCCAAGUUGGAGUAGUAAAUGGCAACCCACUCCAGUAUCCUUGCCUGGAAUUUUCCAUGUACAGAGGAAUCUGGCGGGCUAUAGUCCAUGGGGUUGCAAACAGUUGGACAUGACUAAGCGACCGAGCGGUUAGGGGACGCUGGUUUGAUCCAGGGCAGCUAGGCCUGUGCACCACAACUAAUGAGCCCACACGCUGCAACUGCUGAAGUCCGUGUGCCUAGACCCUGUGCUCCACAAGAAGAGAAGCCACUGCAAUGAGAAGCAUAUGCACUGCAACUCGAGAGCAGCUCCUGCUCUUCACAACUAGAGAAAAGCCCGCACGGCAAAGAAGACCUAGCACAGCCAAAAUAAAUAAAUUGAUUUUUUUUUAAAGUAUCAGACAAGAGUGAUUCAGUGUCCGUCUCUCCUCCACCACCCAAUUACCGCCUCCACGGUGAAUGAUGACAAAGCUCUGGGGAAACUUCGCAAAGCUGGAUGAGGCAGAAUGCGGAAGAAGUAGUUGUGGACCACUGGCUCAGUCUGCUCUCCAGUCAGCAGAAUUCAUUUACUAGUUUCUAGUGGGCACAAGCAAGAUAUUUUGGCUCUCAAUUUUUUUACUUUGCUAAAACUCUUCAUUUAUUUCUGAAUUUUACAAUUAUGUAUACAGAAAAAAGUAUUCCAGUUCUUAAAACAGCGUCUUAUUUAUAACUUAGUGUUGUAACUAGGACUGUGGUACUAAAUCACUGAAAGACCAUUGUCCUUCAGAGAAUAGAUAUUAAGAUUUCCUUUCUUAAUAAAAGUCCUUUCUUUCCCACAAGCGAC
Molecule: long non-coding RNA, 2790 nt
Filed under: Bos taurus (domestic cattle)
Lineage: Eukaryota; Metazoa; Chordata; Mammalia; Artiodactyla; Bovidae
Description: long non-coding RNA NONBTAT027140
Source: RNAcentral